GACGAACGCUGGCGGCGUGCUUAACACAUGCAAGUCGAACGGACAGGCCCUGCUUUUGUGGGGUGCUCGAGUGGCGAACGGGUGAGUAACACGUGAGUAACCUGCCCUUGACUUUGGGAUAACUUCAGGAAACUCGGGCUAAUACCGGAUAGGAGCUCCUGCUGCAUGGUGGGGGUUGGAAAGUUUCGGCGGUUGGGGAUGGACUCGCGGCUUAUCAGCUUGUUGGUGGGGUAGUGGCUUACCAAGGCUUUGACGGGUAGCCGGCCUGAGAGGGUGACCGGCCACAUGGGGACUGAGAUACGGCCCAGACUCCUACGGGAGGCAGCAGUGGGGAAUAUUGCACAAUGGGCGGAAGCCUGAUGCAACGACGCCGCGUGCGGGAUGACGGCCUUCGGGUUGUAAACCGCUUUCGCCUGUGACGAAGCGUGAGUGACGGUAAUGGGUAAAGAGGCACCGGCUAACUACGUG
Molecule: ribosomal RNA, 468 nt
Filed under: uncultured bacterium
Lineage: Bacteria
Description: partial 16S ribosomal RNA
Rfam family: Bacterial small subunit ribosomal RNA
Source: RNAcentral